CGUAGGGCGCAAGCGUUGUCCGGAAUUAUUGGGCGUAAAGAGCUCGUAGGCGGUCUGUCACGUCUGCCGUGAAAACCCGAGGCUUAACCUCGUGGCUUGCGGUGGAUACGGGCAGACUAGAGGUAGGUAGGGGAGAAUGGAAUUCCCGGUGUAGCGGUGAAAUGCGCAGAUAUCGGGAGGAACACCGGUGGCGAAGGCGGUUCUCUGGGCCUUACCUGACGCUGAGGAGCGAAAGCGUGGGGAGCGAACAGGAUUAGAUACCCUGGUAGUCCACGCCGUAAACGUUGGGCGCUAGGUGUGGGGUUCUUCCACGGACUCCGUGCCGUAGCUAACGCAUUAAGCGCCCCGCCUGGGGAGUACGGCCGCAAGGCUA
Molecule: ribosomal RNA, 373 nt
Filed under: uncultured organism
Description: bacterial SSU rRNA
Rfam family: Bacterial small subunit ribosomal RNA
Source: RNAcentral